Molecule: ribosomal RNA, 381 nt
Filed under: uncultured bacterium
Lineage: Bacteria
Description: partial 16S ribosomal RNA
Rfam family: Bacterial small subunit ribosomal RNA
Source: RNAcentral
UCUUGUCUCGGGGGGGGGGGGCGAUCCCGCGGGGGGGCCGGGGGUAAGAGAUUUUUUUUUCAAACAAAUUUCGACCCCAAAAAACAUUCUCUUUUUAUUUACCUCAGGUGCGGUCCUUGAUAACAAGCACGGGCUACUAGUGCCCGCAGCCGCGGUAUUAGUAGGGUGCGAGCGGUUAUGGGAAUUACUGGGCGUAAAGCGUGCGCAGGCGGGCUUGUAAGUCAGAUGUGAAAUUUCUUUUAGGUCAAAUUGCGCCAUGGUUUGAACUACAAGGCUAGAAUAUGUCAUAGGGGUAGAAUGCACGUGUAGCAGUGAAAUGCGUUAGAUGUGGAGGAAUACAAUGGGAAGGCAGCCCCCGGGAUCAUUACGUCAUGCACAAAG